UAUUAGUAUAAUGAAAGUUAAUUAAUAGGGAAAGCUCUAGCUAAAUUCGUGCCAGCAGCUGACGGUAAAACGGAUAGAGCAAGUGUUAUUUAUAGGAACUAGGCUUAAAGCGCUAUCAGGUGGUGUCUACUUCUUAUUAAUAAAAGACUAGGACUUAAUCCUUGGACUAUUUCUAAUAAGUAAAUGCUCGAAUAUGUAGGAGAUAUAAGAUACUUUUAAUGUAAAGGUGAAAAUUUGUAAAAAUUAAAAGGAUGACCUAAAGGUGUAAACUUUAUAUCACUAUCUAUUGACACUGGCCAGCGAAAGAUAAGUUCUAAACUCGGAGUCGUUUCCCGAUUAUUCUUAUCCCUCAACUAUAAGUGUAAAAUCGUCAGUACCCUAAAAAGUCUGGUGGUUUCAAGUUUACGCUAUAAACACUUCGCCUAGGAACUACGAACGCAAGUUUGAAACUUAAAGGAAUUGACGGAGGU
This 470-nucleotide ribosomal RNA is filed under the name uncultured bacterium. RNAcentral's name for it is "partial 16S ribosomal RNA". It matches the Rfam family "Bacterial small subunit ribosomal RNA", at positions 455 to 920 of the family's 1533-position model. The record is from RNAcentral.